CCCAGCCGCUCGUCCCACUCGACCAUAUUCUAGUACACACUAACUAGAACUGUACCGCCGCCGUGUCGGCGCCGCGCCAGCCCGCUCCCUGAAGUUCCGUUUUCUGCUGUUAUCGGGAAGCGCGCGUUGACCGGCGUGGGCCGUUUCGUGGCCUCGCUCGCUGUGUGCUUGCGCGCCGCGAUGUUUCACGACUGGCACCGUUCGUGCAUCGUGCUGUGGUUGCACCAAUACUUCAAAAACAGGUCCGGCAAGGUUCUUCCGGUUCCCUAAAGACAACGGCUCCCAACGCGCAUGAAAAGAAGCGAAGAUGGACUGCCACCGUGCGGCGUCGUUCCGUGAUCGGUGACUUCGGUCCAGCGUUUGGCGACGCAGCAGCUCGAUUACGUGAGUGCAUGGAGUACAUCGUGGGAGACACCGUAGUGCCCCAAACCCAUACGGCUGUGCUACAAUUGACGAUGUCGCCUCAUCCUUCGCCGCGCGCGUAAGCUGGUGGCAAGUGUGCUGCUGCAAGUGUGAUGUUAUCGUUGUUUCGAUCGAAGUAAGACGAAGUGCGCGGUGCAUAUGCGUGUUCGGCCUCGCACAGGUUGCCACAACUCUUCCUCGGGCCUAAAAGAAAAAGCAAGGGUGUCAUACUGCUAGGCGUUGCUGUUCCCGCGCCCGGCAUGAACAUGCUUUUCGGUGGGCGAGUGGCGGGGGCAGCGCCUCCCCAUCUCUGGAUGCAACCGCCAAUUUUAGACCCGGAGCAGCUGACCGGCUGGCAACAUCUAUGUGAUACCGGGACCGGCAUCGCUAUCUGUAAUGAGCGCGCCCGAUAUAAGCUGCUGCCCACCGACUGCGUGCUGGGGCACUACACCGCGACUAGAAUGGAGCAUUCACCAUUGGUGUUCUUUCAGUAGGUCCAGGGGCUGCAGGCCGUCCAAGGACCAGAAGCAACCACAUGGUCGGAGCCGAUCUGGGAGCCGCAGCUAGACGCAGCAGAAACCGCUACCGAAAGACUCUUGCCUUGGGCCGCAUGGACAAAAACGCCCAACCAGCUUACCAGGAAGCUGAC
Molecule: long non-coding RNA, 1051 nt
Organism: Dermacentor silvarum
Lineage: Eukaryota; Metazoa; Arthropoda; Arachnida; Ixodida; Ixodidae
Exons: 4
Source: RefSeq, a predicted model, not a curated record